RNAcentral lists this transfer RNA (71 nucleotides) under Ovis aries (sheep). It matches the Rfam family "tRNA". From Rfam's summary of the family: Transfer RNA (tRNA) molecules are approximately 80 nucleotides in length. Lineage: Eukaryota; Metazoa; Chordata; Mammalia; Artiodactyla; Bovidae. The record is from Rfam by way of RNAcentral.
UCCCUGGUGGCUCAGCAGUAGAGAAUCUACCUGCAAAGCAGGAGACCUGGGUUCAAUCCCUGGGUUGGGAA